This is a long non-coding RNA of Corylus avellana, 215 nucleotides long. RefSeq lists it as uncharacterized. Lineage: Eukaryota; Viridiplantae; Streptophyta; Magnoliopsida; Fagales; Betulaceae. The record is from RefSeq and is a predicted model, not a curated record.
AAAUGUUUUUCUAAACUAGCUACCUAGAGAAGAUUUGGUGGAGUUUUACUUCUAAGGAUUUUUGGAAGUGGAGCAGAAUACUACACUAAGGAGAAUCUUGAUGCAGGGAUAGAAAGUGAGGACGAUGGUCCUUUUACUGGUUUUGAUGGUUGAUAGACCAUCUGCUGCAGGAUUUAUGCUUACUCUAUGGAGCAAGUCUCAUUUAUGUUAAUCGC